RNAcentral lists this ribosomal RNA (371 nucleotides) under uncultured bacterium. RNAcentral describes it as "bacterial SSU rRNA". It matches the Rfam family "Bacterial small subunit ribosomal RNA", at positions 525 to 896 of the family's 1533-position model. The record is from RNAcentral.
ACGAACUGUGCGAACGUUACUCGGAAUCACUGGGCUUACAGGGUGCGUAGGUGGCUUGAUAAGCAGGGUGUGAAAUCCCUCGGCUCAACCGAGGAACUGCGCUCUGAACUGUCGAGCUAGAGUAUGCUAGAGGUGAAUGGAACAUCCAGUGGAGCGGUGAAAUGUGUUGAUAUUGGAUGGAACACCAGAGGCGAAGGCGAUUCACUGGGGCAUAACUGACACUGAGGCACGAAAGCCAGGGGAGCAAACGGGAUUAGAUACCCCGGUAGUCCUGGCCGUAAACGAUGAGAACUGAGCGGGGGGAGGCUUGCCUUCCCCGGCAGUAGCGAAAGCGUUAAGUUCUCCGCCUGGGGAGUAUGGUCGCAAGGCUG